GGGGGUGACCCGGUUUCGACAGGGGAACUGCAGGCGAUGUUGCGUGUCGAGGUGCCGUUGGCCUCGUAAAACUACGGCAAAGCCAUUAACUGGCAACCAGAACUACGCUCUCGCUGCUUAAGUGAGACAGUGACCGCGAAGCCCGGCCUUUGGCGCCGCGCGAACUGAACCAAAAGAAGGCUAGCCCAGGCAACGCUCUGUAGCCAAAGGCGAAAGCAAGCAGAGAUAAGGUCCGCGAAAACCCGCCCACUGGUGAGCGCGGCCCCGACAACCAAACAGUGGGAUACACACGUAGACGCACGCUGAACGGACUCUUGGACGGCGGUUCGACUCCGCCCACCUCCACCA
Molecule: transfer-messenger RNA, 348 nt
Filed under: Deinococcus arcticus
Lineage: Bacteria; Thermotogati; Deinococcota; Deinococci; Deinococcales; Deinococcaceae
Description: Standard tmRNA
Rfam family: transfer-messenger RNA
About the family: Bacterial tmRNA, also known as 10Sa RNA or SsrA, is named for its dual tRNA and mRNA-like properties. Its role is to liberate the mRNA from a stalled ribosome.
Source: RNAcentral